GAUGGUGUAGCGAAGUGGUUAACGCGAUAGUUUUGAAUGCAUCAUAGCUAUUCCUCUCCGAGGUCAUGGGUUCAAAUCCCAUCAUCAUCG
Molecule: non-coding RNA, 90 nt
Organism: Hydnum rufescens UP504
Lineage: Eukaryota; Fungi; Basidiomycota; Agaricomycetes; Cantharellales; Hydnaceae
Source: the annotation of a GenBank genome assembly